GAGCAGCGCAUAGAGCCAUUCAA
RNAcentral lists this non-coding RNA (23 nucleotides) under Arabidopsis thaliana (thale cress). Lineage: Eukaryota; Viridiplantae; Streptophyta; Magnoliopsida; Brassicales; Brassicaceae. The record is from RNAcentral.